This 149-nucleotide ribosomal RNA is filed under the name Ichthyosporea sp. Its description in RNAcentral is "partial small subunit ribosomal RNA". It matches the Rfam family "Eukaryotic small subunit ribosomal RNA", at positions 1296 to 1461 of the family's 1831-position model. The record is from RNAcentral. Lineage: Eukaryota; Ichthyosporea.
AGUUGGUGGAGUGAUUUGUCUGGUUAAUUCCGUUAACGAACGAGACCUUAACCUACUAAAUAGUUACGUCAUUUCUGAAUGACGGGUAACUUCUUAGAGGGACUGCUGAGCGUUACAAAAGCCAGCGGAAGUUUGAGGCAAUAACAGGU